GUCCAGUCACGUGGUAUCACACGGACGGCCAUGUUUCCGAAACACAAACAACAAGAAGAGCAGCGACUAGGAGCCAGCAGACACAUACUGAUACGCAGCAGCGACCGUUGGAGGAGAGGGAAAAAAAAUAAAAAAUAAAAUACAGAGCACGACUUUCUAAAAGUACGAUUCUGUCGAAUGAAUAAGUUUACAGUGUUUAAAGAGACCAAUGCAUACGAUAUAUUGGCUGUAGACACACGGUGCAGACAACCAGUCUGGUAACGUUAGCUAUAAACAGUGAAGUGGUGCAAAGGGAGGAGGACAGGAAAUAAAGGAGUUACCUGGAGGGUCUCCGUCAAUCCACAUUUCAGUUGGAGCGAG
Molecule: long non-coding RNA, 360 nt
Organism: Perca flavescens (yellow perch)
Lineage: Eukaryota; Metazoa; Chordata; Actinopteri; Perciformes; Percidae
Exons: 2
Source: RefSeq, a predicted model, not a curated record